GCUAUCCCGAAACCCGUUCGUAGUUCGGAUUGAGGGCUGUAACUCGCCCUCAUGAAGCUGGAUUAGGUAGUAAUCGCGUCUCAACAGGGCGCGGUGAAUAUGCCCCUGCUCCUUGCACACACCGCCCGUCAAACCAUCUUAGUUGGGGGUGGGUGAGGCUACCUUUGAAUGGGGUAUUCGAGCCUGCCUUCGACAAGGAGGGUUAAGUCGUAACAAGGUAUCUGUAGGGGAACCUGCAGAUGGAUCACCUCCU
Molecule: ribosomal RNA, 253 nt
Filed under: Candidatus Thalassarchaeaceae archaeon
Lineage: Archaea; Methanobacteriati; Thermoplasmatota; Candidatus Poseidoniia; Candidatus Poseidoniales; Candidatus Thalassarchaeaceae
Description: partial 16S ribosomal RNA
Rfam family: Archaeal small subunit ribosomal RNA
Source: RNAcentral